This 1386-nucleotide ribosomal RNA is filed under the name uncultured bacterium. RNAcentral describes it as "bacterial SSU rRNA". It matches the Rfam family "Bacterial small subunit ribosomal RNA". The record is from RNAcentral.
AGAGUUUGAUCCUGGCUCAGGAUGAACGCUGGCGGCAUGCCUAAUACAUGCAAGUCGAACGAGGGUCCUUCGGGACUCGAGUGGCGAACGGGUGAGUAACACGUAGGGAACCUGCCCGUGCGACCGGGAGAACUUUCGGAAACGGAAGCUGAUACCGGAUAGGGACAGAGACGGCAUCGACUCUGUGUUAAAGGAGCUGAAAGGCUCCGCGCACGGAUGGACCUGCGGUGCAUUAGCUGGUUGGUGAGGUAACGGCCCACCAAGGCGACGAUGCAUAGCCGGCCUGAGAGGGCGGACGGCCACACUGGGACUGAGACACGGCCCAGACUCCUACGGGAGGCAGCAGUAGGGAAUUUUCGUCAAUGGGCGCAAGCCUGAACGAGCAAUGCCGCGUGAACGAGGAAGGUCUUCGGAUCGUAAAGUUCUGUUGAAGGGGAAAAAGAGUGGAGAGAGGAAAUGAACUCCGAUUGAUAUUACCCUUCGAGGAAGUCACGGCUAACUACGUGCCAGCAGCCGCGGUAAUACGUAGGUGGCGAGCGUUAUCCGGAAUGAUUGGGCGUAAAGGGUGCGUAGGCGGCCUGCUAAGUCUGGAGUGAAAGGUACCGGCUCAACCGGUACAGGCUCUGGAAACUGGCGGGCUAGAGAGCAGGAGAGGGCGGUGGAACUCCAUGUGUAGCGGUAAAAUGCGUAGAUAUAUGGAAGAACACCAGUGGCGAAGGCGGCCGCCUGGCCUGUUACUGACGCUGAGGCACGAAAGCGUGGGGAGCAAAUAGGAUUAGAUACCCUAGUAGUCCACGCCGUAAACGAUGAGGACCAAGUGUUGGGGAAGACCCAGUGCUGCAGUUAACGCAGUGAGUCCUCCGCCUGGGGAGUAUGCACGCAAGUGUGAAACUCAAAGGAAUUGACGGGGGCCCGCACAAGCGGUGGAGUAUGUGGUUUAAUUCGAAGCAACGCGAAGAACCUUACCAGGCCUUGACAUAGGGUGCGAAGCUAUGGAGACAUAGUGGAGGUAAACAUCCAUACAGGUGGUGCAUGGUUGUCGUCAGCUCGUGUCGUGAGAUGUUCAGUUAAGUCUGGCAACGAGCGCAACCCUCGUGAUGUGUUACCAAUAUCGAGUUAGGGACUCACAUCAGACUGCCGGUGAGAAACCGGAGGAAGGCGGGGAUGACGUCAAAUCAUCAUGCCCCUUAUGGCCUGGGCUACACACGUACUACAAUGGCGGCGACAGAGGGCAGCGAGCCUGCGAAGGCAAGCGAAUCCCCAAAAAGCCGUCCUAGUUCGGAUUGGAGUCUGCAACCCGACUCCAUGAAGUUGGAAUCGCUAGUAAUCGCGGAUCAGCAUGCCGCGGUGAAUACGUUCUCGGGCCUUGUACUCACCGCCCGUCAA